CACCUCUCAGGAUCACAUCUGGAGAGUUUCCAGUACUCUACCAGUCUCGGCUAUGGGAGGGCGAGUCAAGAAGAGGCUUACCCAUUCCAUUCCUAGGUUGGGCAGUGGCUAGCGAGUGAGAGGCAAUCUGCUACAAGU
Non-coding RNA from Ornithorhynchus anatinus (platypus), 138 nucleotides. NCBI's taxonomy places the organism in Eukaryota, Metazoa, Chordata, Mammalia, Monotremata, Ornithorhynchidae. The record is from Rfam.